Long non-coding RNA from Telopea speciosissima, 156 nucleotides. RefSeq lists it as uncharacterized. The record is from RefSeq and is a predicted model, not a curated record. The transcript is spliced from 3 exons. NCBI's taxonomy places the organism in Eukaryota, Viridiplantae, Streptophyta, Magnoliopsida, Proteales, Proteaceae.
CGCCCUGCAACAUCAUCCUUACAGAAUAAAUAAAUUUCUCCUGCUGGUGUUAAAAAGCUAUUAUGAAAAGAAACCAUACUCUGUUUAUCCUGCACAAAUUCAUGAAUUUUCUCUGAGAAUACUCCACUUAAAUGAAAAAAAAAACUAUCGAUUUCA